RNAcentral lists this ribosomal RNA (265 nucleotides) under uncultured bacterium. RNAcentral's name for it is "partial 16S ribosomal RNA". It matches the Rfam family "Bacterial small subunit ribosomal RNA", at positions 1227 to 1500 of the family's 1533-position model. The record is from RNAcentral.
ACAGUGGCAGGUACAGAGGGAUGCUACCGGGCGACCGGAUGCGGAUCUCGAAAGCCUGUCCCAGUUCGGACUGGAGUCUGCAACCCGACUCCACGAAGUUGGAUUCGCUAGUAAUCGCGCAUCAGCCAUGGCGCGGUGAAUACGUUCCCGGGCCUUGUACACACCGCCCGUCAAGCCAUGGGAGCCGGGGGCGCCUGAAGUCCGGGACCGCGAGGACCGGCCUAGGGCGAAACUGGUAACUGGGGCUAAGUCGUAACAAGGUACC